RNAcentral lists this ribosomal RNA (476 nucleotides) under uncultured organism. RNAcentral describes it as "partial 16S ribosomal RNA". It matches the Rfam family "Bacterial small subunit ribosomal RNA", at positions 330 to 797 of the family's 1533-position model. The record is from RNAcentral.
CGUACACUCCUGCGGGAGGCAGCAGUGGGGAAUAUCGCACAAUGGGCGCAAGCCUGAUGCAGCCAUGCCGCGUGUAUGAAGAAGGCCUUCGGGUUGUAAAGUACUUUCAGCGGGGAGGAAGGCGAUAAGGUUAAUAACCUUGUCGAUUGACGUUACCCGCAGAAGAAGCACCGGCUAACUCCGUGCCAGCAGCCGCGGUAAUACGGAGGGUGCAAGCGUUAAUCGGAAUUACUGGGCGUAAAGCGCACGCAGGCGGUCUGUCAAGUCGGAUGUGAAAUCCCCGGGCUCAACCUGGGAACUGCAUUCGAAACUGGCAGGCUAGAGUCUUGUAGAGGGGGGUAGAAUUCCAGGUGUAGCGGUGAAAUGCGUAGAGAUCUGGAGGAAUACCGGUGGCGAAGGCGGCCCCCUGGACAAAGACUGACGCUCAGGUGCGAAAGCGUGGGGAGCAAACAGGAUUAGAUACCCCGGUAGUCCCA